CUUCAUGUAUGCAUCAAUCAGAUAACCAUGAUUAUUGCUCACCUUAUAUCCAUUUUUUUGCUGAAAAAUAUGUUGCAGGUUAGUGGCAGAGUUACCUAUAAUGGCCAUGAAAUGAAUGAAUAAGUUUGUACCUCAAAGAACUGCAAUAUACAUUAACCAGAAUGAUGUUCAUAUUGGAGAAAUGACUGUGAGGGAAACCUUGGCUUUCUCAGCAAAGGUGUCAAGGGGUUGGUUCAAGAUUCGUUGUUUCUCCUUCUUGUCCACCAAACUGAAAGCACAGAUUUCUCUCCUGAAAGCGCAGAAGAUUACAAAAAUUUAGGCUAGAGUGGUUAUCCUUGUUUGUCUAUAUUCUUAGCAUAGGGAGCCAGAUCGAGUCAAGGCCAACUUUGGAACAGGUAAUAAUUAUUAGUAUUUUAAGAUUUGCCCUAUUUGUUGAUGAAAAUUGUAAGGGAAAGUUAGGGAAGUUAGAAAAAUUGUAAGGAAAUGAGUGAAAUCUCUGAACCUUUUAAGAAGCUACAUCUUGGAAAGCCAUUUAAUAAGUUUGACAUAACACUAAAUGCUACAACUUGGACUUCAACUCAGAAAUAGCACAUAUAAUGGUGAUUCUAACACUUUCUGAGUCCACUUUCUUUACACUAUCUUUCAUCCAUUUUGUUCAUUUGAUUUUUGUUAUUCUAAUUCUGACUCUGAUUUUAUUUUUGUUCAAGUUGGUAUUUUGAAGGCAAAUGAAGUAACUGUUUGAAUGAUUUAGUUUACUUGCUUUGAAAAAUCAAAAUAAAUUACUUGCUUUUUGGCAUUUUAUUCUAUGGCCGCGAAGGCUCUUUUUUUUUUGGCAGGAACAUUUUUCUUCUUGUUCAGAAAAAUAAGGUCCUAUACAAAUACUUGUAUCAUAAGGGAAAUAUGUUGAUUAUUGUUCAUUAGAAAAACUAUCUCAUUACGCUGCUGAUACAGUUUAAAGUAUAAACUUGUUGAUGUUAUUAGUAUGUGCUAAGUUAUUGCCUAAGAGUGAGUUUAUUUCAGGCUUUUGAUAGUUCUUUGUGGUUUGUAAAUGACCUGAAAUUGAUAUGUUAGAAUUAAUUAGUCUAGGUUAUUUUUUAUUUUUUGAUGUCAUUAUUCAAAUUCUUCUUGUUUGUUGGUGUUGUGAUACUAAUUUUGAUUUUGUGGAACGGAUUUGAUAUUGUUUUGAGUCUGAUAAUUGGUUACUAAGUUU
Molecule: long non-coding RNA, 1210 nt
Organism: Arachis stenosperma
Lineage: Eukaryota; Viridiplantae; Streptophyta; Magnoliopsida; Fabales; Fabaceae
Exons: 3
Source: RefSeq, a predicted model, not a curated record